AGUUUGAUCCUGGCUCAGGAUGAACGCUGGCGGCGCGCCUAACACAUGCAAGUCGAACGGCACCCCUCUCCGGAGGGAAGCGAGUGGCGAACGGCUGAGUAACACGUGGAGAACCUGCCCCCUCCCCCGGGAUAGCCGCCCGAAAGGACGGGUAAUACCGGAUACCCCGGGGUGCCGCAUGGCACCCCGGCUAAAGCCCCGACGGGAGGGGAUGGCUCCGCGGCCCAUCAGGUAGACGGCGGGGUGACGGCCCACCGUGCCGACAACGGGUAGCCGGGUUGAGAGACCGACCGGCCAGAUUGGGACUGAGACACGGCCCAGACUCCUACGGGAGGCAGCAGUGGGGAAUCUUGCGCAAUGGGGGGAACCCUGACGCAGCGACGCCGCGUGCGGGACGGAGGCCUUCGGGUCGUAAACCGCUUUCAGCAGGGAAGAGUCAAGACUGUACCUGCAGAAGAAGCCCCGGGCUUAAACUUACGGUGCCCAAGCAAGCCGGCGGUUAAUUACGUAAGGGGGGGCGAAGCGUUUAUCCGGGAAUUCAUUUGGGCGGUAAAAGCGGUGCCGUAGGACUGCCCCGGGGCAAGACCCGGGGGGUUUGAAAGCGGGGGGGGCUUCAACCCCCCCCGAAAGCCCCCGGGAACCCUCCCGCGGGAUUGGGGUCCGGGUACGGGGAGGGGCUGGAACACCGCGGGGGUGAGCGGUGGAACUGCCCGAGAUAUCGGUGGAAUACCCCGAUAUCGGAUGGCACACCCUGUGGCGAAGAGACCCCUCUGGGCGGAGACAAACGCUGGGGGAGCGAAACCUGGGGGAGCGACCAUGAUUAUAUACCCUGGUAGUCCCAGCCGUAAACGAUGUACGCUAGGUGUGGGGGGACGAUCCCCCCGUGCCGCAGCCAACGCAUUAAGCGUCCCGCCUGGGGAGUACGGCCGCAAGGCUAAAACUCAAAGGAAUUGACGGGGGCCCGCACAAGCAGCGGAGCAUGUGGCUUAAUUCGAAGCAACGCGAAGAACCUUACCAGGGCUUGACAUAUGGGUGAAGCGGGGGAGACCCCGUGGCCGAGAGGAGCCCAUACAGGUGGUGCAUGGCUGUCGUCAGCUCGUGUCGUGAGAUGUUGGGUUAAGUCCCGCAACGAGCGCAACCCCCGCCGCGUGUUGCCAUCGGGUGAUGCCGGGAACCCACGCGGGACCGCCGCCGUCAAGGCGGAGGAGGGCGGGGACGACGUCAAGUCAUCAUGCCCCUUAUGCCCUGGGCUGCACACGUGCUACAAUGGCCGGUACAGAGGGAUGCCACCCCGCGAGGGGGAGCGGAUCCCGGAAAGCCGGCCCCAGUUCGGAUUGGGGGCUGCAACCCGCCCCCAUGAAGUCGGAGUUGCUAGUAAUCGCGGAUCAGCAUGCCGCGGUGAAUGCGUUCCCGGGCCUUGCACACACCGCCCGUC
Molecule: ribosomal RNA, 1435 nt
Filed under: uncultured bacterium
Lineage: Bacteria
Description: partial 16S ribosomal RNA
Rfam family: Bacterial small subunit ribosomal RNA
Source: RNAcentral